This is a long non-coding RNA of Rhinichthys klamathensis goyatoka, 371 nucleotides long. RefSeq lists it as uncharacterized. The record is from RefSeq and is a predicted model, not a curated record. NCBI's taxonomy places the organism in Eukaryota, Metazoa, Chordata, Actinopteri, Cypriniformes, Leuciscidae. The transcript has 2 exons.
UGUCUCGAAAUGAGCCUUCCUCCGAAUUAAGACUCCCUUCAGCAGCACAUUCAGCGUGCCAACUACCAGGCCGCAAUACACAAGUGAAGUCUGCAAAAACAACAACCUGACAUACCCCCACCGGUACAGCAUGGAUAGAGGAUGGACGGAGAAUACCUGGUAGUGCACUGGAUGACACUGCCCCCAGCACCACAGAGUGUCUUAGAGCUGGUGCACUGCCAAUGCAAAACCCUUAAAUGUGUGGGAGGGAACUGCACUUGCAAAAAGCAUUAGCUACCAUGCACAGAAUUGUGUUAUUGUAAAAACUGUGACAAUCUACCAUAAUUGGCUUAAAUAACUCCAUGACUACCACUAUAAAAUUGAUUUGAAAU